RNAcentral lists this transfer RNA (76 nucleotides) under Bacillota bacterium. RNAcentral's name for it is "Firmicutes bacterium (anaerobic digester metagenome) tRNA-Glu". It matches the Rfam family "tRNA". Rfam says of the family: Transfer RNA (tRNA) molecules are approximately 80 nucleotides in length. Their secondary structure includes four short double-helical elements and three loops (D, anti-codon, and T loops). Further hydrogen bonds mediate the characteristic L-shaped molecular structure. tRNAs have two regions of fundamental functional importance: the anti-codon, which is responsible for specific mRNA codon recognition, and the 3' end, to which the tRNAs corresponding amino acid is attached (by aminoacyl-tRNA synthetases). tRNAs cope with the degeneracy of the genetic code in two manners: having more than one tRNA (with a specific anti-codon) for a particular amino acid; and 'wobble' base-pairing, i.e. permitting non-standard base-pairing at the 3rd anti-codon position. RNAcentral also lists the same sequence under 1 other name. The record is from RNAcentral. Lineage: Bacteria; Bacillati; Bacillota.
GCCCCCAUCGUCUAGGGGCCUAGGACAUCGCCCUCUCACGGCGAAGACAGGGGUUCGAAUCCCCUUGGGGGUACCA